Molecule: ribosomal RNA, 483 nt
Filed under: uncultured bacterium
Lineage: Bacteria
Description: partial 16S ribosomal RNA
Rfam family: Bacterial small subunit ribosomal RNA
Source: RNAcentral
GAUGAACGCUAGCGGCAGGCUUAAUACAUGCAAGUCGAGGGGGCAGCAAUGUCACCGGCGAACGGGUGCGUAACGCGUAUGCAACCUACCUACAUCAGGGGGAUAGCCCUAGGAAACUGGGAUUAACACCGCAUAACAUAUGACAAGGCAUCUUGUUAUAUUGAAAUAUUUAUAGGAUGUAGAUGGGCAUGCGUUGGAUUAGCUAGUUGGUAAGGUAACGGCUUACCAAGGCUACGAUCCUUAGGGGCUCUGAGAGGAGUAUCCCCCACACUGGCACUGAGAUACGGGCCAGACUCCUACGGGAGGCAGCAGUAGGGAAUAUUGGGCAAUGGAGGCAACUCUGACCCAGCCAUGCCGCGUGCAGGAAGACGGUCCUCUGGAUUGUAAACUGCUUUUGAAUGGGAAGAAUGUGUGGCUUGCGAGCUAUAAUGACGGUACCAUUAGAAUAAGCCACGGCUAACUACGUGCCAGCCGCCGCAGUAA